GACGAACGCUGGCGGCGUGCUUAACACAUGCAAGUCGAACGAUGAAGCUAGAGCUUGCUCUGGUGAAUUAGUGGCGAACGGGUGAGUAACACGUGAGUAACCUGCCCCGAACUCUGGGAUAACUGCUGGAAACGGUAGCUAAUACUGGAUACGACCUACGAAGGCAUCUUCUGUAGGUGGAAAGAAUUUCGGUUCGGGAUGGACUCGCGGCCUAUCAGCUUGUUGGUGAGGUAAUGGCUCACCAAGGCGACGACGGGUAGCCGGCCUGAGAGGGUGACCGGCCACACUGGGACUGAGACACGGCCCAGACUCCUACGGGAGGCAGCAGUGGGGAAUAUUGCACAAUGGGGGAAACCCUGAUGCAGCCAUGCCGCGUGUGUGAAGAAGGCC
Molecule: ribosomal RNA, 390 nt
Filed under: uncultured bacterium
Lineage: Bacteria
Description: bacterial SSU rRNA
Rfam family: Bacterial small subunit ribosomal RNA
Source: RNAcentral